Molecule: long non-coding RNA, 1664 nt
Organism: Marmota monax (woodchuck)
Lineage: Eukaryota; Metazoa; Chordata; Mammalia; Rodentia; Sciuridae
Exons: 3
Source: RefSeq, a predicted model, not a curated record
UUUCCAUCUAUCCUCCCACUAGAAUCAGUUUGGGUAAGAAGUGAAGAAAGAAACAUGUGAGCUCUUGGCCGGUGCAAGUAGCAGCCUUCAACAUGUGGAUGGGGUUCACACCAGCUGGACAAGCAGAAGCCCAGUGGCGCUCUAGACCCAGCUCUGCCAGCAACCUGUCAGGUGACAAUGGCCAAUUACGUCGCCUCUCAGCCUAUUUCCUCACUUGUGAUAUCAAGGAGGCAUGUCUCAGGCUGUACAUUUCUGAUGUUUAAACCCAAGGGCAGAUCUUGGCCAAAAGAGAAAGGCAAGAACUAAAAGUAUUUGGGUGAACAAGAGGAAUUCACUUGUUCAAGGAAGAGACAAAGAGGAACUACAGGCAUUUCUGUGCCCAAAGAUGUCUCACUGGGUGUCACUGGAGGGACUUGGCAGGAGCAGCUGACAUUAUACUUGGCACUUCCCAAAAGCCAUGUUGCCUGGGGAAUAAAUCCCAUUUUUAAAGAAACUGCCUUUCCUUCUGGGAAUUAACUUGCUUCUACUUGACUAGAUUUUAAAAAAAAAAAAAGACUCAUAAAGAAGUUCAUAGAGAACUAAAAUUUCACUUUGUCCUGCAUUAUGGACACUUUCUGGGCAGAGAACUACUGCCAGUAAGGGCAUGGCACACUUGGGAGAAUGGGCUUAUACAAAACUUAGUGUGGGGGCUGGGACCCUUAUUUUUUCCUGAAGAACACAGAUCCAUGGGAGAAAAUUGAUAUGGGAGCCACACAGUGCAGAUAAAUAAAUAAAUAAAUAAAUAGCCCCACUAAAAUGACUAUUUAAGAUCUGAGUGGGAAUAUUUGAAGUGAGAGAAAAUGUUACAUAUAUCUACUUUUCAAGUUAGAAGCAGGAAACAGAAACCUCUAUUUAGUAUGGAAAACAAUUAAAAAUAGACUCCAGUUCCAUUUUCAUCCAAGUUAGAGGAAGGGGGUGGGAAAGGGAGGAAACUAUGAAGUAGGCGAAGAAGGAGUCAAGAAAAGGAAGCUUUGGAUAUGAGCUUUGAGCUCUGAACAGAACAAGUAAACCUCUACUGUUCUUUGAAAUUCAUACUAAAAAGGCUUUUCUGCACUGGGAGACAGCCUGAAAACUUUCCAUUUCAUGCUGCAAAGAACUUUUGUAAAAGGGAAAGCUUACUCCUCUCUAUGGAAUUCCCAAAAAAGGAAAACUUGGGAUUUAGAAUCAUCCUCUGGAAUUUCAAAGCAGAAGGGUCAAUAUGUAUCAUUACUAUCUCAAAGCUCUUUGAGUUUUGCCAAUCCCAAGCCCCUUCAGAGACACAGCAGAACCAACCAAAGCAGCCAGAGAAACUAUAGAAACUGAACCUGAAAACCCUCCGCAGUGCUGCCUGGGCCACAUGGAGUAAGGGGGUUGCAACUGACUGAAGAAAACCAGGAGCACCUGAGGUGUGGAGAAGGCACCUGCACUAGCCUGGCUUACAUAUGCAAAUACGUGACAUCACCUCUGUCAGCCUGCUGGGAUGGAUCUUACAGGUCAUGUGGGUAAAAUGAGGCAGAGAAGCCCAGAAUAAGGUUUGUGAAAAUCUCUGUGCAGUGAUAGAAGUCUUGCCCCAGAUACCACGGGACAGCCAUGCUGACUGCAGUGAGUUAGUAGGGGUGCACUUUGAGGCUCCCCUUACCUCGAUU